Molecule: ribosomal RNA, 407 nt
Filed under: uncultured bacterium
Lineage: Bacteria
Description: partial 16S ribosomal RNA
Rfam family: Bacterial small subunit ribosomal RNA
Source: RNAcentral
AUUGAACGCUGGCGGCAGGCCUAACACAUGCAAGUCGAGCGAGCGGCGGACGGGUGAGUAACACGUGGGAACCUACCCAUCAGAGGGGGAUAACACUUGGAAACAGGUGCUAAUACCGCAUAUUGAUGGAUGGACCCGCGGUGCAUUAGCUAGUUGGUGAGGUAACGGCUCACCAAGGCCACGAUGCAUAGCCGACCUGAGAGGGUGAUCGGCCACACUGGAACUGAGACACGGUCCAGACUCCUACGGGAGGCAGCAGUGGGGAAUAUUGCACAAUGGGCGCAAGCCUGAUGCAGCCAUGCCGCGUGUGUGAAGAAGGCCUUCGGGUUGUAAAGCACUUUCAGCGGGGAGGCGUUACCCGCAGAAGAAGCACCGGCUAACUCCGUGCCAGCAGCCGCGGUAAUAUC